Molecule: transfer RNA, 68 nt
Filed under: Marmota monax (woodchuck)
Lineage: Eukaryota; Metazoa; Chordata; Mammalia; Rodentia; Sciuridae
Description: tRNA.Ala
Source: RNAcentral
GUGGUGGCUCAGAGGUACAGCACUCGGCUAGCAUGCGUGAGGCACUGGGUUCGAUCCUCAGCACCACA